CAUCAAUUUCUUUUGAGAUUUUAAACAAAUUUCUUGCCAUCUUAUCAGAUUGCAAUGUAGUCCUAUUUUUAGGGGACGUUUGGUUCGUAACCAGAACCAAAAUGAGAAUGGAAAUGGGAAUAGCUUGGAAUCGAAAUCGGAAUGGCCAAAUCCUCCAAAGUAUUUGGUUUGUGACCGGAAUCGGAAUUGAAAUGAAAAAUUGAAUCCAUAAAG
This 213-nucleotide long non-coding RNA is filed under the name Elaeis guineensis (African oil palm). RNAcentral's name for it is "long non-coding RNA (EGUI_LNC002392)". The record is from RNAcentral. Lineage: Eukaryota; Viridiplantae; Streptophyta; Magnoliopsida; Arecales; Arecaceae.